This 2002-nucleotide long non-coding RNA is filed under the name Cyanistes caeruleus (blue tit). Its description in RNAcentral is "lncRNA (ENSCCEG00000011718.1)". Lineage: Eukaryota; Metazoa; Chordata; Aves; Passeriformes; Paridae. The record is from RNAcentral.
AUGCCCGGAUCCAGAGCCGGAAGUUCCCCAGAAGCAGAGUACGUCAUCCCAGCGCCGGAGCCCGGCCCCGCGACAGCAACCAGAGCAGUUCCAGCUUCGCCACGGCCACAACCACGGGAUUCACAGCCACAACCAACCACACAUCAGAAGGAAACACAAGAUCUCCACAGAGACAACCACAGUCUUCACCUAACGCCAGGUCCAGCACCACUCCUAUCAAACACCAUCACAACACGUGUGAGCUGCAGAGUACAAACCCUGAUGAAAAAUGCAAACUUGUCUACUUUAGCUCACAGAUGCUGUUUUGGCUUCAAAUGCGUUGCUGGAUUGGCUUUGGUUAAGUCACCCAGGUUGCAAAAUGGGAGCAACAAACUGCAUGUCUCAUCAGACCUUCACCGAGUCAUUCUGAGAGUGCCAUGCUUCAUUGCCAGCUACACAGACAAUUUUUACAUCUAGGAUGGAGUCUGCAAUGUCUAUCAGGACCAACAUGGACUCCAGAAAUAUAGUCAUAGACAUGUCUGAGAAAGCAAGCAGCAAGCCUCUUCUGAGGUGAGAGGAGGCCUCAGGGAAACAUCUCAAAGUGUGAAACCACGACUAGAUUAAAGAAGAUUUAAAGCACAGAUUAAAAGGAACUCUUAUUAGAGAACACAUUAGAAGAAGUAGGACAACCAGAACAUUUUCUCAGGGUGUGCUCAGAACCACAGAGGAAUUGUUUCAAAGAGCAGUGGUUCAUGACUAAAAGAGACAGUUUAAAGUGGUUUUGGUCAUCAUAUGUCUCUCAUUUUUACCACAGGUUUAGCCUUGCAUGCGUAAACAGUCCAAUUCCAGUACAAGGGGCAUCUCAUUUAUUACUAAAUGCUGUUAUUUAAAUGUUGACAGUUUGAAGCAAGGGAGCAAUGCUAAAUUUUUAUGCUCUUACAAUCCUUCUCCACCCUCUUUGGGAUGAAAGCACAUCAGGGUUAACCUGCACAUAUUGGCUGGGUGGGAGCACAACUUUUGGCCAGAUACUACUGGUUCCAGUGCUUAUUUACCUAGCAAAUUUUAUUGUCUCCAGUCAAGCUAUUUCCAUUUAUAAAGACCAUUCUUCUUGUAAAGGAGUGUACUAGUAGUUUUUUUGUUUGUGACUGACAAGUAGAUGGCCUUUUAGCUGGCAAUAUCCCUAAACUAUAUGUAGCUGUAUGACGAGAAGAUUUACUUGAAGAAACUCAAACAUUCAUGUUGAACUUGCCUUAAAAUUUAAAUGUCAGAGUUUCCCAUUUUUGAAAUAUCUAACUCCCACUGAUUCCAGUGAUAGAUAAUAAUUACCUUUGAGGUUUUGAACCUGGAGCAUAGCAGAAGGCAAAAUAUAACUCACAGAAAUAUAUAAUGGAAAAAUAAUUACAUUGUAAAAAUAACUUGCAGUGCUGUUGCUAUGAAUGUUCUGCACUUGGAUGUUUCUUUUAAAGGAAUUUCAAGAUUUAUAAGUCUGGUUCUACAAUGCUUUAGAACUCAAAUCUGAGAUAGGCUAUGUUUUUUUUCAAUACCACUAACACAUGAAUUUAGUUCAAAUUGAAUUGAAUGUAGUUUAAGCCCACAAGAAUGAGUAUGAUUUUCUUGACAGAAAAUCAAAUUGACUCAAUUUUCUUCUAUAUGUAUUUGAUAAUGUAAGCUACAGAAUCACUCAGUUGUUCUUGUAUAAAGACUGUACCUCUGUAAAAUUCUAAAACUAAACUCUCAAAUAAGUGUAUUAGAGAUAACAAGCUCUAUUGACUGUUAUGAGAACAAGAUAUGUGUCACCCUGAAAACUCAGCUUCUGAGCUUGCUAUAACAUAGUUUUCUAAGGACUUUCCCAGGACAGUAACUGUAAACAUAGAUAUGUGUACAUUCUUUCUGUUACACAUCUUGUGAUGGGCAUCUCUCAUAGCCAGUGCAGUGGGAAAGUGUUAUCCUGACCAUCCAAUCCCUGGCCGUGGUCACAAGCCUAUAAAUCCUGGGAGGAAAAAUAAACUCUGCUCUUUCUUCA